This 440-nucleotide ribosomal RNA is filed under the name uncultured Enterobacter sp. RNAcentral describes it as "bacterial SSU rRNA". It matches the Rfam family "Bacterial small subunit ribosomal RNA", at positions 54 to 485 of the family's 1533-position model. The record is from RNAcentral. Lineage: Bacteria; Pseudomonadati; Pseudomonadota; Gammaproteobacteria; Enterobacterales; Enterobacteriaceae.
CAUGCAAGUCGAGCGGUAGCACAGAGAGCUUGCUCUCGGGUGACGAGCGGCGGACGGGUGAGUAAUGUCUGGGAAACUGCCUGAUGGAGGGGGAUAACUACUGGAAACGGUAGCUAAUACCGCAUAACGUCGCAAGACCAAAGAGGGGGACCUUCGGGCCUCUUGCCAUCAGAUGUGCCCAGAUGGGAUUAGCUAGUAGGUGGGGUAACGGCUCACCUAGGCGACGAUCCCUAGCUGGUCUGAGAGGAUGACCAGCCACACUGGAACUGAGACACGGUCCAGACUCCUACGGGAGGCAGCAGUGGGGAAUAUUGCACAAUGGGCGCAAGCCUGAUGCAGCCAUGCCGCGUGUAUGAAGAAGGCCUUCGGGUUGUAAAGUACUUUCAGCGGGGAGGAAGGCGAUAAGGUUAAUAACCUUGUCGAUUGACGUUACCCGCAGA